RNAcentral lists this ribosomal RNA (770 nucleotides) under uncultured marine dinoflagellate. Its description in RNAcentral is "SSU rRNA". It matches the Rfam family "Eukaryotic small subunit ribosomal RNA", at positions 439 to 1214 of the family's 1831-position model. Lineage: Eukaryota; Dinophyceae. The record is from RNAcentral.
ACUUACCCAAUUCUGACACGGAGAGGUAGUGACAAGAAAUAAGAUACAGGGCAUUCAUGUCUUGUACUUGGGCUGAGUAGAAUGUAAACGACUCUAUGAGUAUCAAUUGGAGGGCAAGUCUGGUGCCAGCAGCCGCGGUAACUCCAGCUCCAAUAGCGUAUAUUGAAGUUGUUGCGGUUAAAAAGCUCGUCGUUGGAUUUCUGUUGAGGUCGAACAGUGCCGCCCUAUGGGUGCGCAACUGGCUCGGCUUCGGCAUCUUCUUGGAGAGCGUAUCUGCACUUAACUGUGUGGAUCGUACUUCAAGUCAGUUACUUUGAGGAAUUGUGAGUGUUUCAAGCAGGCUUACGCCGUUGAAUCCGUUAGCAUGGAAUAAUAGAAUAGGACCUCGGUUCUAUUUUGUUGGUUUUGAGAGCUGGGGCAGCGAUUGAUAGGGACGGAUGGGGGCGUCCGAACUUUACUGUCAGAGGUGAAAUUCUUAGAUCGGUCAAAGGCGAACUACUGCGAACGCAUUCGCCAAGAAUGUUUUCUUUAAUCAAGAACGAAAGUUAGGGGAUCGAAGACGAUCAGAUACCGUCCUAGUCUUAACCAUAAACGUUACUGACUAGAGAUUGGAGGUUGUGAUUCACAAACUCCAUCAGCACCUCUAUGUGUAAACAAAGUCUUUGAGUUCUGGGGGGAGUAUGGUCGCAAGACUGAAACUUAAAGGAAUUGACGGAAGGGCACCACCAGGAGUGGAACCUGCGGCUUAAUUUGACUCAACACGGGGAAAC